CAUAGCCCUUGGAGGAGGCCGGGGCCGAGGCCGGCUUUUCGUGGUGCUGGGGCCGCCGGCAAGGACUCCACCUCGAGCCGCGCAUUCCGUCCUUCCCGCUCCGGGAGGAGAGACGCGGCCCCGACUCGGGAGGUUCAGGCCUCGAGGGUAGAAGCCUGAGGCUGAACACUUGCGAGGGCUUUCUGCGAGCGGACGAGGCCCCCACGUCCUGGUGUUUCCCUACCCUCCCGCCGCGUGAGCGUUUGCUCGUCUGUCCCUGUGCGCGCGCGCGCUCUCUCUCUCUCUCUCUCUCACACACACACACACACACCACACCUACCUACCCUCCUCUUUCAUUAACGUCCCUCUCAAAAUCAGGUCCUGGAACUUCGAUUUAUAUUAGGACGUCGACUGAUUUGCAUGAGAAAACCAGGGUGACCGCGGCCACCAAUUCUUGAAUACACCUUAGUACUGCUGAAUUAGAGUAUUCCGGGGGUCUGUUCCAAAUCUGGUACCAUCUGCAGCCAACUACACCAGCACCGAACGGCUCCGAAACAGUCUGGUCUGGGGAAACGUUCUCAAGAGGGAGGCCGGCUAUCUCUGCGGCACCAGGCCCUGAAUGCAGAAAAUGUGAGACUGCAGCUACACUCGUUUCCAAACUGACAGUGCGCCCAACAAAUGCAGUGGCACCUAUCCCAAAGGGAGGCAUUCACACCUCCACCUCCCGGGCCGCGAGUGCUACUCCAGCCAGCCGGGCCCUGCGUGCAGUCAUUGCUUGGUGGUUGCAGAGAGCGUUCGCGCCUGGAGGAUACCAGAGCCCGGCUGGAGGUGGAGUUGAGAGGCUCACAUACAAGAUUACCCCGAGGAUCUGCUCUCACAUCUCAACCCAGCACCCCAACACCAAGCCGAUUUUUGGCAUCGAGGGAGCCCCUCUUCAGCUGACCCAUUUGCAGACACGGCAUCACUGUGACCUCUGCCUGGCAGUGCUCCUCUCCUCACCGUGGAGGGUCAAGGGGAGCUGAGCCCACCGGAAUCAGACUCAAUCCAGACGACCAGGAGCAGAGACCUUCCUGGAAGCCAGAGCACAGAAAGGCCACUCCUCGUGCACCCAGUGAAUUUACUCUGCGUAAAGAGGCGCUCCGGGCCGUGUCCGAGUCCCUGCGACCACAGGUGGGACCGGGAUGCUGAGGCGUGCGCUCUGGUCCCCCUCUUCACGUAACCCUGCAACAUUGGGAGCCCUACAGGAAUCCCCUUCUCUGCUUGGUGGAGAGCAGAUGCGGACGUGCUUGAGCACUGGGGCUUGACGACGACUAUUUAGAGGGGCCCUGGUGUCACCCACCCCGGCGUUAUCGUUGACCACGGCUGUUGCUGUUCUCUCUUGGCCUUUGGUAAUUAGCCGUCAGCGCCAAAAGCAGCCGCGUGGCGCGCACCCCGGAAGCGCUUGCGGAGACCCGGAAGCAGCGGGAGCUCGGACGCUGCUCUUCCCGCGUGUGAGCUCCUCGUCCCGCCCACCUUUGAGGUACCCUGGUUGGCGAAGCCUCGCGUCGCGCGAGAGCGGGUCCCGGGCUCGCGUCACCCUCCUGCCCCGCGGUGGGGAGUUCCC
This is a long non-coding RNA of Ursus maritimus (polar bear), 1582 nucleotides long. The record is from Ensembl. NCBI's taxonomy places the organism in Eukaryota, Metazoa, Chordata, Mammalia, Carnivora, Ursidae.